AUUGAACGCUGGCGGCAGGCCUAACACAUGCAAGUCGAGCGGAUGAGAGGAGCUUGCUCUUCGAUUCAGCGGCGGACGGGUGAGUAAUGCCUAGGAAUCUGCCUAGUAGUGGGGGACAACGUUUCGAAAGGAACGCUAAUACCGCAUACGUCCUACGGGAGAAAGUGGGGGAUCUUCGGACCUCCCGCUAUUAGAUGUGCCUAGGUCGGAUUAGCUAGGUGGUAGGGUAACGGCCUACCAAGGCGACGAUCCGUAACUGGUCUGAGAGGAUGAUCAGUCACACUGGAACUGAGACACGGUCCAGACUCCUACGGGAGGCAGCAGUGGGGAAUAUUGGACAAUGGGCGAAAGCCUGAUCCAGCCAUGCCGCGUGUGUGAAGAAGGCCCUCGGGUCGUAAAGCACUUUAAGUUGGGAGGAAGGGCUUACAGCGAAUACCUGUGAGUUUUGACGUUACCGACAGAAUAAGCACCGGCUAACUUCGUGCCAGCCGCCGCGGUAA
RNAcentral lists this ribosomal RNA (500 nucleotides) under uncultured bacterium. RNAcentral describes it as "partial 16S ribosomal RNA". It matches the Rfam family "Bacterial small subunit ribosomal RNA", at positions 30 to 523 of the family's 1533-position model. The record is from RNAcentral.